Pseudoliparis swirei is the source of this 356-nucleotide long non-coding RNA. RefSeq lists it as uncharacterized. The transcript is spliced from 2 exons. NCBI's taxonomy places the organism in Eukaryota, Metazoa, Chordata, Actinopteri, Perciformes, Liparidae. The record is from RefSeq and is a predicted model, not a curated record.
GUCUCUUGGACCCCAUCCCGACGAGGCUGCUUAAAGACGUUUUCGAAGUAGAAACCGUUGAAGAUAAUUGGUCACGGUUGAUGGGAGAAAAGCCAUCCAAAUAUACACCAGGGCAUACAGCGGUUUUCAAGGCCAUUCCACUUGAGGACAGAUUGGCACUGGUUAAGGGCAAGAGAUUAUUAAUCUUGUCCCUAAUAGUUAAAAUCUUUUCAUUAAAGAAGUUCAUGAAGUCAUUACCACUGAGGUCUAUAGGAAUACUCGGCUCCACAGAGCUGUGACUCUCUGUCAGCCUGGCUACAGUGCUGAAGAGAAACCUGGGGUUGUUCUUAUUUUUCUCUAUUACUGAUGAGUAAUAG